Molecule: long non-coding RNA, 749 nt
Filed under: Sus scrofa (pig)
Lineage: Eukaryota; Metazoa; Chordata; Mammalia; Artiodactyla; Suidae
Description: lncRNA (ENSSSCG00015047979.1)
Source: RNAcentral
AUAAAUCAAUUUUCCUAUAACAUGCCAUAACUUAGAAACUUUUUUCCAAGUGCUAUUUUUUUUUCUUCAAUAUUGUUCUGGACGUCUUGGAAAAGGUAGGUGGAGAAUAAAAGAAUCUUUAGGAUUGCAAAAUACAAUCUGAGGGGAUAGUGAAGAAAUUGAGACCUUUUCAAUGAAGGAGACAAAACCAAUUGAUAAUUCAUGUAAGGAUCCUUGAUGGAGCAGCAUCUAUGUGCCAACUUUUGGGCUGGGUGUUGGGAGACAAAGAAAAUGAGACCUAGUUUCCACCCUUGAAAAGCUCAGAGACAAGAGGAUAAUCAUUUCAAGUUUAUAAAGACUGUUAUUUAGAACUCUGAUAUUUGUGUCAUUCUUGGCUAACUCCUAUGCUUCUCUUUCUUGGAUCUCCUCUUUUUCCCCUUCUUUCCUUAUUUCCUUCCCUUCCCUAGACUUUAGGUCUGUGACUGGAGUGCACCAGCAUGGCAGGCUAGCUCGUAUGUAGAAUGGAAUCUCAUCUGAAACUCUGCCAGAAUACCAAGCCCCUCUCAUCUUACAUUUCAAGAGGGAAGAUCAGCUUGUACUUCUGGUCCUAGGAUUAUGACCGGUGCAUACAGAAAAAGCUUUAAGAUGGAAUCUCUAGGUCAUGAGUGCCAGAAACUGUGGUUUGUACAAAUUAUAGCUGAUGUGUGAGAUUUUUGUGCCCGGAGGUACAGUGGUCACUGUGUGACCACAAAGGGGGACUUGGUCAACAU